CGGCCGGUGGCGGCGGGAGGCGCCCGGACCGCGCCGGGCAUGGUGUGCGGGGACCCCUGCACCAUGGAGCUGGAGAACAUCGUGGCCAACACCGUCCUGCUCAAGGCACGGGAAGGAGGCGGCGGCAAGAGGAAAGGCCGGAGCAAGAAGUGGAGGGAGAUCCUGCGGUUCCCGCACAUCAGCCAGUGCGACGAGCUGCGGAAGGGCCUGGAGCAGGACUACGGCAGCCUGUGCCAGCGGCAGCCCAUCGGCCGCCUGCUCUUCCGGCAGUUCUGUGAGACGCGGCCGGAGCUCCUGAGCUGCAUCCGCUUCCUGGACGCCGUGGAGGAGUACGAACUCUCCCCAGAUGAGAAGCGGAAGGAGAUGGGGGAAGAGAUCAUCCAGCGGUUCCUCAGGCAGGAGUCCCCAGAUUCCCUGCCCGAGGUGGGCCACCCCCACGCCAGUGAGUACCUGCAGGACCUGCAGAAGAGCCCCUGCAAGGACCUGUUCAGCAGCUGCCUGCGCCCCCUGCACCAGUUCCUGAGCGGGGACCCCUUUGCUGACUACCGGGCCAGCAUGUACUUCGACCGGUUCCUGCAGUGGAAGUACCUGGAGAGGCAGGCUGUCACCAAGGACACCUUCCGGCAGUACCGGAUCCUGGGCAAGGGCGGGUUCGGAGAGGUGUGUGCCUGCCAGGUGCGGGCCACGGGCAAGAUGUAUGCCUGCAAGAAACUGGAGAAGAAGCGGAUCAAGAAGCGGAAAGGGGAGGCGAUGGCCCUGAACGAGAAGCAGAUCCUGGAGAAGGUCAACAGCCGGUUCGUGGUGAGCCUGGCCUAUGCCUACGAGACGAAGGACGCUCUGUGCCUGGUGCUGACCAUCAUGAACGGGGGAGACCUCAAGUUCCACAUCUACAACAUGGGGAACCCCGGCUUUGAGGACAAGCGCGUGGCCUUCUACGCAGCAGAGAUCUGCUGUGGGCUCCAGCACCUGCACCAGGAGGGCAUCGUCUACAGGGACCUGAAGCCAGAGAAUAUCCUGCUGGAUGACAAUGGCCAUAUCAGGAUCUCUGACCUGGGGCUGGCUGUCAAGAUCCCCGAGGGUGAGACCAUCCACGGCCGCGUGGGCACCGUCGGCUACAUGGCCCCGGAGGUGAUCAGCAACGAGCGCUACACCUUCAGCCCCGACUGGUGGGGCCUGGGCUGCCUGGUGUACGAGAUGAUCGAGGGGCAGUCGCCCUUCCGCGCCCGCAAGGAGCGGGUGAAGCGGGAGGAGGUGGAGAAGCGGGUGCAGGAGGAGCAGGAGCUCUACUCGGACAAGUUCAGUGAGGACGCUCAGGCCAUCUGCAAGUUGCUCCUGGCCAAGGACCCCGGGGUGCGGCUGGGCUGCGGGGCCGGCAGGGCGGCCGAGGUGAAGCAACAUCCCUUCUUCAGGACCAUCAACUUCAAGCGGCUGGAGGCCGGAAUCAUGACCCCCCCCUUCGUGCCGGACCCGCGGGCGGUUUAUUGCAAGGACGUGCUGGACAUCGAGCAGUUCUCCACGGUGAAGGGCGUCAACUUGGACAAAACCGACAGUGAUUUCUACGCCAAAUUCGCCACGGGCAGCGUCUCCAUCCCCUGGCAGAACGAGAUGAUCGAGACCGAGUGUUUCAAGGACCUCAACGUGUUUGGGCCCAGCGGGACCCGCUCCCCCGACCUGGACUGGCAGCGGCUGCCCGAGCCCCCCAGGCGCAGCCUUUUGCAGCGGCUCUUCCGGCGACACCCGGCCGACUACACCAUUGGCACCUCUGUCCACGCCCCCAGCCCAGCUGCUGUGAACUCACACCCUCCUGUGGCCAAAUCCUCCUGCCAGGCACCAGCACCGGCACCGUCUUGACCCCUCGGGGGGCCCCCAGCCCCCGUGUGCCCUCUCAGGGUUAUCCCGGAGCAGUGCCAGGGCCGGGGGCUCCGGGGAUGCUCACGGAGGGGAGGGGGACGCUGGCACGGGCUGAUGUGUGUGGGCAGGGGGCGAUGGGGGCAGAGGGGUGGAAGCUGCCUUGGCCCCAACCCUGCCAGCUCCCCACCCCUCCAGCCUGUUCCUGGGGGCUUCCACUGCAGGACCACCUCCCACCAGCUCCCCUCCCCACUGCCAGGGGAGGGGGCCAGGGCACAGACCUGUUUCUGCUGCUUUUGAGCCCAUUAUCUUAUCGCCGGGUCAGAGCGUGACCUCUGCGGGCAUCGGAGUGGGGCUGUGGUUUAUCUGUGCUCUCCAAAUAGCAACAUGGGCAGCCUUGGAGUGGGGGGACACCCCGGCCCCCCUGGCCAUGCUGCAGCAGGAGGGACGGGGUCACCCCGACAGAGCCUCCCCCCGGAGAAGCACGGCCUCCCCUGCUCCGGCCACUGCGAUGGGAAGCAGGCUGGGAGAGCGGAAUUUUCUCGAAGGUGGUUGGGAAGGGGGGUGUGAGGGGCUCCCCCCAUCCUCACAAGGCAGCUCCAGGCAGCCUCAGGGUUCCUGGGCCCCCCAUCUCUUCAGCCCCUGGUGAAUCUCUGGCACCUUUGGUCAGCGUUGAUCCGGUUUUGUAUAUUUUGUACAUUUGUGAAUAUUUGUACCUCGAGCCCUGUUGUACAUUUCUUAAGCGAAAAGCUGCAAACGGAGCUGCGUGGUGACUUUGUGGAGGGACUUGAGGGGCGUUUCGGGGGGGCUGUGGGGGCUUUCUCGGGUGUUUUACCUCCCCCAGCAUGUUCUCCCCCCUCCUUGCCCUGCGGGAUGUGGGUGGGGGGUGCUGGGUGCCCAUCCCGGGGUGGGGCUGUGCUGGUUUCCCAGGCAUCCCUUGCUGGCACGCGGGACAUGACCACGUGCUGCCCGUGCCCCCAGCCCUGUCCCCAGAAGAACAGGGCUCAGCCGAGGGGCUGGCUGGGUCCAGGCAGGUCCGAGCUGUGGCCAGAGCCUUGCCCUGCCCGGCUGCUGGAGCUCGGUGGGCUCAGCCGACCAGGCCAGUUGUGUUCUGAUGGAGAGACCCCUUCCUGGUGCCCAAGGCUCGGUGCAUGCAUCAGUGUGGGGACCUCAAGGGACAUCCAGAGGAGAUGCUGAGGCCACAUCAGGAGCUGGCAGGUGGGAGCAGGUGGGUGAAGCCCAGAGCGGGGAGAGCUGCGGCACGACCUGGGAAUCGCAGCUGUGGGACCGUGGCUGCAGUGAGGAGUUCCCAGUAAACAUUUGGGAAGGGGACGGUGCAGCCUCCGGCUUCCUCCUGGUCCCUCCAGCACCUUUGUCUGGUCACACAUCGCUGACGUGAACAUGAGGUGCUUUCUGCACAUGACAGAGGACGAUGGAAACGAGCAUCCUGAGGAGCAGCAGGAACAUUCUGGAUGGCAGGUGGGACCCAAAUCAUCUAGGGGGGGGCUGGGGACAAGCAGGGGGAGGUGAGGGGCUCCCCAGGGCUGGUGCAGCAAUGGGGUGACCUCCCCCUGGGCCAAGUUGUUGCAACAGUGGGGAGGAAGGUCAGGCUCCCCGCAGGAGGGUGCAGGGGUUGACGUCAAAGGAAGCAGCUGUGAUUCACGGGUUCCUGGGAGCACUGGUCUCCGGGCCAUAACUCAUCCCAGAAAUGUCAUUUCAGCCUUGAGCGUUAUCGCUGCUCUGCUGUUGCCCACCACUCCCAGCCCUGGGACAGAUAACCAGGCUCAGGGGUAGGGGGGCUGCACGGGACUGCCCCUUUCUCCCAGCCCAGGCUCAACAGCUCAAUGUGUUUAAUAUUCAGCUCUAUAUGGGCUGUCCUGGUUCUUGUGUGCAGCAUUUGCUGAGGUUGGGCUGAGCCUGGCUGGGUUAUUCCAGGAUGGCUCUGUCCCGAGAUGGUGUUGUCCAUUGUUGUUAUUAGCCAUUGUUAUUCAUCCAUGACAAUCAUCCUCGAUGACCUUGUAGGUCUUUUCCAACCUUACUGAUUCUGUGGUUCCGUGUUUGCCCACCGACACCUGUCAGAAUUAAUUAUCACCUGUCCUUACCCUCAGCUGAUGGCCCCUGUGCCACAGGGUCUGU
Chiroxiphia lanceolata (lance-tailed manakin) is the source of this 3984-nucleotide RNA transcript. It is a transcript of the gene named G protein-coupled receptor kinase 5-like, with no coding region annotated. The record is from RefSeq and is a predicted model, not a curated record. Lineage: Eukaryota; Metazoa; Chordata; Aves; Passeriformes; Pipridae. The transcript is spliced from 18 exons.